Non-coding RNA from Vicia faba (fava bean), 270 nucleotides. The record is from the annotation of a GenBank genome assembly. NCBI's taxonomy places the organism in Eukaryota, Viridiplantae, Streptophyta, Magnoliopsida, Fabales, Fabaceae.
AUGGGGGAUGCCAAAAACGACGCAGUGGUGUUUCGGAACCUGACAGCGGCGCUUCAGAACCUGACGGUGGCACCGCCGCGAAAAGUUACAAAAAUACUAGUAGAACAGAAGCAAAGCAACCGUAUAGACAGUAAAGAUACAACAACAAAAAUUCGAGCAACACUAAGCAGCAGUUUUGGGCAGCAUAGGACAACAUGGUUUUGGACUGAUUUUGGGCAGAUUUGCAGUAAGAAAGUAGCAGAAUUUUGGCAGCAUUUGGGACUGUCAUAG